UACGUAGGGUGCGAGCGUUAAUCGGAAUUACUGGGCGUAAAGCGUGCGCAGGCGGUUCGUUGUGUCGGUGGUGAAAUCCCCGGGCUUAACCUGGGAAUGGCCAUGGAAACUGGCGAACUGGAGUGCGGCAGAGGGGGGUGGAAUUCCGCGUGUAGCGGUGAAAUGCGUAGAUAUCAGGAGGAACACCGGUGGCGAAGGCGGCCCUCUGGACGGUGACUGACGCUGAGACGCGAAAGCGUGGGGAGCAAACAGG
This 253-nucleotide ribosomal RNA is filed under the name uncultured bacterium. RNAcentral describes it as "partial 16S ribosomal RNA". It matches the Rfam family "Bacterial small subunit ribosomal RNA", at positions 524 to 776 of the family's 1533-position model. The record is from RNAcentral.